Non-coding RNA from Caenorhabditis elegans, 21 nucleotides. The record is from Ensembl. Lineage: Eukaryota; Metazoa; Nematoda; Chromadorea; Rhabditida; Rhabditidae.
UCGACUGCAUUUUUUUAUUGC